CAAGAGAAUACUUAAGCAACGACAUCAUCACUUACAGGCACGACCUCAACAAUUGAGGGAUUAAUAAAGUAUAGUCCAUUCACCGGGAUUGGAUGGUGAGAUCCUCGAGCUCGUCUAUCAAGCACUCUACUAACUCCUCCCCAGCAAGAUUUGUUGUCAACAACAUAGAAAGAGGAGGAAUAAUGGGACUCAAUGCCUU
Molecule: long non-coding RNA, 199 nt
Filed under: Ricinus communis (castor bean)
Lineage: Eukaryota; Viridiplantae; Streptophyta; Magnoliopsida; Malpighiales; Euphorbiaceae
Description: long non-coding RNA (RCOM_LNC000654)
Source: RNAcentral